GCGGCGGACGGGUGAGUAACGCGUGGGUAACCUGCCCUAUACACAUGGAUAACAUACUGAAAAGUUUACUAAUACAUGAUAAUAUAUAUUUGCGGCAUCGCAGAUAUAUCAAAGUGUUAGCGGUAUAGGAUGGACCCGCGUCUGAUUAGCUAGUUGGUGAGAUAACUGCCCACCAAGGCGACGAUCAGUAGCCGACCUGAGAGGGUGAUCGGCCACAUUGGAACUGAGACACGGUCCAAACUCCUACGGGAGGCAGCAGUGGGGAAUAUUGCACAAUGGGCGAAAGCCUGAUGCAGCAACGCCGCGUGAACGAUGAAGGUCUUCGGAUCGUAAAGUUCUGUUGCAGGGGAAGAUAAUGACGGUACCCUGUGAGGAAGCCCCGGCUAACUACGUGCCAGCAGCCGCGGUAAUACGUAGGGGGCUAGCGUUAUCCGGAUUUACUGGGCGUAAAGGGUGCGUAGGUGGUCCUUCAAGUCGGUGGUUAAAGGCUACGGCUCAACCGUAGUAAGCCGCCGAAACUGGAGGACUUGAGUGCAGGAGAGGAAAGUGGAAUUCCCAGUGUAGCGGUGAAAUGCGUAGAUAUUGGGAGGAACACCAGUAGCGAAGGCGGCUUUCUGGACUGCAACUGACACUGAGGCACGAAAGCGUGGGUAGCAAACAGGAUUAGAUACCCUGGUAGUCCACGCUGUAAACGAUGAGUACUAGGUGUCGGGGGUUACCCCCCUCGGUGCCGCAGCUAACGCAUUAAGUACUCCGCCUGGGGAGUACGCACGCAAGUGUGAAACUCAAAGGAAUUGACGGGGACCCGCACAAGUAGCGGAGCAUGUGGUUUAAUUCGAAGCAACGCGAAGAACCUUACCUAAGCUUGACAUCCCUCGGACAGGUGUUUAAUCACACCCUUCCUUCGGGACUGAGGUGACAGGUGGUGCAUGGUUGUCGUCAGCUCGUGUCGUGAGAUGUUGGGUUAAGUCCCGCAACGAGCGCAACCCUUGUCUUUAGUUGCCAGCAUUCAGUUGGGCACUCUAGAGAGACUGCCAGGGAUAACCUGGAGGAAGGUGGGGAUGACGUCAAAUCAUCAUGCCCCUUAUGCUUAGGGCUACACACGUGCUACAAUGGGUGGUACAGAGGGUUGCCAAACCGUGAGGUGGAGCCAAUCCCUUAAAGCCAUUCUCAGUUCGGAUUGUAGGCUG
This 1190-nucleotide ribosomal RNA is filed under the name Peptostreptococcus sp. CM88. Its description in RNAcentral is "bacterial SSU rRNA". It matches the Rfam family "Bacterial small subunit ribosomal RNA", at positions 95 to 1307 of the family's 1533-position model. The record is from RNAcentral. Lineage: Bacteria; Bacillati; Bacillota; Clostridia; Peptostreptococcales; Peptostreptococcaceae.